GGUUGUCGUCAGCUCGUGUCGUGAGAUGUUGGGUUAAGUCCCGCAACGAGCGCAACCCUACUUGUUAGUUGCCAUCAUUCAGUUGGGCACUCUAGCGAGACUGCCGGUAAUAAACCGGAGGAAGGUGGGGAUGACGUCAAAUCAUCAUGCCCCUUAUGACCUGGGCUACACACGUGCUACAAUGGUUGGUACAACGAGUUGCGAGUCGGUGACGGCGAGCUAAUCUCUUAAAGCCAAUCUCAGUUCGGAUUGUAGGCUGCAACUCGCCUACAUGAAGUCGGAAUCGCUAGUAAUCGCGGAUCAGCACGCCGCGGUGAAUACGUUCCCGGGCCUU
This 334-nucleotide ribosomal RNA is filed under the name uncultured Streptococcus sp. Its description in RNAcentral is "bacterial SSU rRNA". It matches the Rfam family "Bacterial small subunit ribosomal RNA", at positions 1047 to 1382 of the family's 1533-position model. Lineage: Bacteria; Bacillati; Bacillota; Bacilli; Lactobacillales; Streptococcaceae. The record is from RNAcentral.